RNAcentral lists this long non-coding RNA (1690 nucleotides) under Vitis vinifera (wine grape). RNAcentral's name for it is "long non-coding RNA (VVIN_LNC000379)". Lineage: Eukaryota; Viridiplantae; Streptophyta; Magnoliopsida; Vitales; Vitaceae. The record is from RNAcentral.
UCAACUAUUGUAUAUAAUCUUACUGAUUCGGAAAAUCAAUAGAGAUCAUUUUCCAUCCUUUUCUUCAUGGUAUCAGAUAGGGUUGAUGCCUGAUUUUUAUUUUUUUUCAUCCUUGGCUUGCAUUGCCAAGAGAAGUUCUUUUUGUCUGGCCUUUAUUGCCAAAAAUUUCUAUUUCUAUUGUCAAUAAUCUCUUAAAAACACUUAUAUUUUUCCAUCCUUUUGUUAUAUCUGUACUUGUUUCAUCCCUUUUCCUGCAGUCCCUCACCUAACCACCUAAAAUGUCAGAAACAUCUGAAACCAUUACCUCCGUCAAUCCCAAAGCAAACUAAGAUUCAAUUUUUAAUGGAAGUCCUACAUGUUGGGAAUUGUCCCAAAUUCCUAAUUAGUAAAUAUUCCUUUUUUGUAAAGAAUAUUGUAUAGAAUAUUUCUAGGUUGAUAUAUUAUUGUAAUAUUAGACUUCCUUAUAGAAUAAGGAAGGUUGUUAGAAAUAUCUCUAUAAAUAUUCUAGGUCAUGAGGGGAAAAAGUUAUGAGAUGGAGAUGGGCCUAUAGAGACUAUACGAGGUGGAUAGAGAUGUGAGGAAGAACGUGAGGUACCUGGUGGAGCGAGAGGGAGCGAGAGGACUCGUAGUAAGGUAUGAAUACAAGGAGUGGGGAAACAUGGGAUGUUUCGGGAACCCAAUAGUUGUAUCUGGUUUUAUCCUCUGUAAUAUUCUCUAUUGUAUAGUGAAAUUAUUCUCUCUCAUCCGUGGACGUAGGCAUGGUUGGCCGAACCACGUUAAAACCUCAUGUACCAUAUGUGUGAUUGUUUUAUCUUUGUGUUAUUGAACUAACAUUGUUGGCAUCAAAGCUUUCGCUGGCACUACAAUUGGUAUCAGAGCUUGGGUUGAAGAUUUCUGGAAGAGUAAAAGAUCACAAAACACACAAGAUGAAAACAAAAGGAAUUUUCACUGAAGGUGGAGUCAAUUGCUCUUUCGUGGUGAUAUGAUACAAAAAGGUUUGUGUCAUGGAGAGAUUGAAGAUUAACUUCAUGUAAUUUGGUCCAAGGUGGAGAUUGUUGGGAAUUGUCCCAAAUUCCUAAUUAGUAAAUAUUCCUUUUUUGUAAAGAAUAUUGUAUAGAAUAUUUCUAGGUUGAUAUAUUAUUGUAAUAUUAGACUUCCUUAUAGAAUAAGGAAGGUUGUUGGAAAUAUCUCUAUAAAUAUUCUAGGUCAUGAGGGGAAAAAGUUAUGAGAUGGAGAUGGGCCUAUAGAGACUAUACGAGGUGGAUAGAGAUGUGAGGAAGAACGUGAGGUACCUGGUGGAGCGAGAGGGAGCGAGAGGACUCGUAGUAAGGUAUGAAUACAAGGAGUGGGGAAACAUGGGAUGUUUCGGGAACCCAAUAGUUGUAUCUGGUUUUAUCCUCUGUAAUAUUCUCUAUUGUAUAGUGAAAUUAUUCUCUCUCAUCCGUGGACGUAGGCAUGGUUGGCCGAACCACGUUAAAACCUCGUGUACCAUAUGUGUGAUUGUUUUAUCUUUGUGUUAUUGAACUAACAUUGUUGGCAUCAAAGCUUUCGCUGGCACUACACUACACUCCAAAUAAUUUCCUUGAAAUUGAAUGGCUCAAACUUCAUGGACUGGUCUCAAUCUGCCAAGGUAUUUCUGAAAAGCAAGGGGAAAUUGGGCACUACAUCAUCAUUGAGUAUAGAGGAUCCC